GAUCUUGUAUUGGUUUAAGUCCUUUGCAUGAUUUAGGAAGCAACCUAUCCUUAAUGCAAAGCCAUUCACUUGAUCAAUUGAUCAAUAUGAAUUAGAUUUGAAUCAAGGAAGAUUAAGCCUCCCUAAUUAAUGCUAACUUAUCAACCUUUAACUCAUUGAUCAAAAGGAAAAGGAGAAGAAGAAGAAGAAGAUGGAUAAUGGAAAUAAAAGGAAUAAGGUUCAUUAAAUGAAAUGGAA
This 237-nucleotide long non-coding RNA is filed under the name Lathyrus oleraceus (garden pea). Its description in RNAcentral is "Pisum sativum (pea) long non-coding RNA (PSAT_LNC038316)". Lineage: Eukaryota; Viridiplantae; Streptophyta; Magnoliopsida; Fabales; Fabaceae. The record is from RNAcentral.